RNAcentral lists this long non-coding RNA (865 nucleotides) under Pandoravirus dulcis. Its description in RNAcentral is "putative ncRNA". The record is from RNAcentral.
CAGCGACGGCGUCGCGUCCGCCACCGCUCGAAUCGGAUCCCGACAGUGCGGUGCGCGGCGCGCUCGGCGCACAGCGCCAGCAUUUGAUCGGACCGCCCCGGCACGCCGCGCACGCGACAAUGGUGGUCGUCGAUGCCAUCUUGGUGUUGCUCGGUCUCUCUCUCUCUCUCUCUAUUUUUCUCUUUUUUUCCGAAAUGGUUUGCACCUCUAUUAUCUGCGUGCUUUCUUCUGUGUUCUCUUUUGGUUUUUUUCUUUCCCUGGCGGCUCGCCGUGCCGGAUGGGCGCCCGUGCGUGGUCUCGCCUUGCCUCGUCGCCGCUCUUUUGUGCUGUGCCGCGCAAUUGUUUUGUGCGCGUCCGCUUUUUUUGUUUUCCUUCCUGUGCGCUGCUUCGGGCAGCCGGUUUGCGGUCGUCUUUUCGUUCCUGCGUGGCCGCCGAGGGCGUCGCAUCGUUCGCUCGUCGGGCGCCGACACGACCGGCGACGCACGCGCCGAAUGCCGUCCGUGCGUCCGUCCGCUCUGCCACCAGACCGUUUGCGCCGCAAGGGCGAUAAAAAAAAGCCGGCGGCCUCUGUGACCGACGAUGACAGGGCGCACGCAUGCGCGGACGCUGUCUCAUGGCGCAGCCGAUUGCAUAAAAAAGAAAAGAAAAAGGAGAGAUGCGAAAGGUCGCGCCUUUCGGAAUGUAUUUUUUGUUGAUGCCGACACGUCGGUCGGCCUCGGCGAUGGCAGCGCACCGUCGGCGGUCCCCCAAGGCGAUUCGUCCGCAAAGCGACAGAAAAAAAAAUGCGCGGCACCGACUGCCUAUUCCAACUUUUUUUUUCUUCUCUUAAACAACUUUUAUUGUAGCCUGGUGGGCGGUUUUUUGG